AGAGUUUGAUCAUGGCUCAGAGCGAACGGUGGCGGCGUGGAUUAGGCAUGCAAGUCGAACGCGAAAGGCUGGGCAACUGGCCGAGUAGAGUGGCGGACUGGUGAGUAAUGUAUGGAUAACCUACCCUGGAGACGGGGAUAACCACUGGAAACGGUGGCUAAUACCCGAUGGUCCAACUGGAAGACACUUUUGGUUGGUAAAGGGAGCAAUCCUGUUCUGGGAGGGGUCCAUAUCCUAUCAGCUAGUUGGUGAGGUGAUGGCUCACCAAGGCGACGACGGGUAGCCGAACUGAGAGGUCGAUCGGCCACAUCGGAACUGAGAACUGUCCGGACUCCUACGGGAGGCUGCAGUCGAGAAUCUUCUGCAAUGGGCGCAAGCCUGACAGAGCGACGCCGCGUGCGGGAUGAAGGCCCUCGGGUUGUAAACCGCUGUCACUCGUUAAGAAAGCCUGGGGUAGGCCUCCAGGUUGACGUUAGCGAGAAAGGAAGUCACGGCUAACUUCGUGCCAGCAGCCGCGGUAAGACGAAGGUGACGACCGUUGCUCGGAAUCACUGGGCAUAAAGCGCGCGUAGGUGGCUUGGUAAGUCCAUGGUGAAAUCCCUCGGCUCAACCGAGGAACUGCCGUGGAUACUGCCGAGCUUGAGUACGGGAGGGGUAAGUGGAACUCUCGGUGUAGCGGUGAAAUGCGUAGAUAUCGAGAGGAACGCCGGUGGCGAAAGCGACUUACUGGACCGUAACUGACACUGAUGCGCGAAAGCUAGGGGAGCAAACAGGAUUAGAUACCCUAGUAGUCC
This 794-nucleotide ribosomal RNA is filed under the name uncultured bacterium. RNAcentral describes it as "bacterial SSU rRNA". It matches the Rfam family "Bacterial small subunit ribosomal RNA", at positions 8 to 796 of the family's 1533-position model. The record is from RNAcentral.